AGUGAACGCUGGCGGUAGGCCUAACACAUGCAAGUCGAACGGCAGCACAUUAAGAGCUUGCUCUUACGGGUGGCGAGUGGCGGACGGGUGAGGAAUACAUCGGAAUCUACUUUUUCGCGGGGGAUAACGUAGGGAAACUUACGCUAAUACCGCAUACGACCUACGGGUGAAAGCAGGGGACCUUCGGACCUUUCGCGAUUGAACGAGCCGAUGUCGGAUUAGCUAGUUGGCGGGGUAAAGGCCCACCAAGGCGACGAUCCGUAGCUGGUCUGAGAGGAUGAUCAGCCACACUGGAACUGAGACACGGUCCAGACUCCUACGGGAGGCAGCAGUGGGGAAUAUUGGACAAUGGGCGCAAGCCUGAUCCAGCCAUACCGCGUGAGUGAAGAAGGCCUUCGGGUUGUAAAGCCCUUUUGUUGGGAAAGAAGAGCAGCAGGUUAAUACCCCGCUGUUCUGACGGUACCCAAAGAAUAAGCACCGGCUAACUUCGUG
RNAcentral lists this ribosomal RNA (492 nucleotides) under uncultured bacterium. RNAcentral describes it as "partial 16S ribosomal RNA". It matches the Rfam family "Bacterial small subunit ribosomal RNA", at positions 29 to 507 of the family's 1533-position model. The record is from RNAcentral.